This 467-nucleotide ribosomal RNA is filed under the name uncultured bacterium. Its description in RNAcentral is "partial 16S ribosomal RNA". It matches the Rfam family "Bacterial small subunit ribosomal RNA", at positions 29 to 507 of the family's 1533-position model. The record is from RNAcentral.
ACGAACGCUGGCGGCGUGCUUAACACAUUCCAGUCGAACGGAAAGGCCCUGCUUUUGUGGGGUGCUCGAGUGGCGAACGGGUGAGUAACACGUGAGUAACCUGCCCUUGACUUUGGGAUAACUUCAGGAAACUGGGGCUAAUACCGGAUAGGAGCUCCUGCUGCAUGGUGGGGGUUGGAAAGUUUCGGCGGUUGGGGAUGGACUCGCGGCUUAUCAGCUUGUUGGUGGGGUAGUGGCUUACCAAGGCUUUGACGGGUAGCCGGCCUGAGAGGGUGACCGGCCACAUUGGGACUGAGAUACGGCCCAGACUCCUACGGGAGGCAGCAGUGGGGAAUAUUGCACAAUGGGCGGAAGCCUGAUGCAGCAACGCCGCGUGCGGGAUGACGGCCUUCGGGUUGUAAACCGCUUUCGCCUGUGACGAAGCGUGAGUGACGGUAAUGGGUAAAGAAGCACCGGCUAACUACGUG